This 496-nucleotide ribosomal RNA is filed under the name uncultured bacterium. RNAcentral's name for it is "partial 16S ribosomal RNA". It matches the Rfam family "Bacterial small subunit ribosomal RNA", at positions 28 to 506 of the family's 1533-position model. The record is from RNAcentral.
GAUGAACGCUGGCGGCGUGCCUAAUACAUGCAAGUCGAGCGAACAGACGAGGAGCUUGCUCCUUUGACGUUAGCGGCGGACGGGUGAGUAACACGUAGGUAACCUACCUAUAAGACUGGGAUAACUUCGGGAAACCGGAGCUAAUACCGGAUAAUAUUUCGAACCGCAUGGUUCGAUAGUGAAAGAUGGCUUUGCUAUCACUUAUAGAUGGACCUGCGCCGUAUUAGCUAGUUGGUAAGGUAACGGCUUACCAAGGCAACGAUACGUAGCCGACCUGAGAGGGUGAUCGGCCACACUGGAACUGAGACACGGUCCAGACUCCUACGGGAGGCAGCAGUAGGGAAUCUUCCGCAAUGGGCGAAAGCCUGACGGAGCAACGCCGCGUGAGUGAUGAAGGUCUUCGGAUCGUAAAACUCUGUUAUUAGGGAAGAACAAACGUGUAAGUAACUGUGCACGUCUUGACGGUACCUAAGCAGAAAGCCACGGCUAACUACGU